This 289-nucleotide ribosomal RNA is filed under the name Escherichia coli. Its description in RNAcentral is "partial 16S ribosomal RNA". It matches the Rfam family "Bacterial small subunit ribosomal RNA", at positions 1 to 284 of the family's 1533-position model. The record is from RNAcentral. Lineage: Bacteria; Pseudomonadati; Pseudomonadota; Gammaproteobacteria; Enterobacterales; Enterobacteriaceae.
UUAAAUUGAAGAGUUUGAUCAUGGCUCAGAUUGAACGCUGGCGGCAGGCCUAACACAUGCAAGUCGAACGGUAACAGGAAGCAGCUUGCUGCUUUGCUGACGAGUGGCGGACGGGUGAGUAAUGUCUGGGAAACUGCCCGAUGGAGGGGGAUAACUACUGGAAACGGUAGCUAAUACCGCAUAACGUCGCAAGACCAAAGAGGGGGACCUUAGGGCCUCUUGCCAUCGGAUGUGCCCAGAUGGGAUUAGCUAGUAGGUGGGGUAAAGGCUCACCUAGGCGACGAUCCCU